Molecule: long non-coding RNA, 777 nt
Filed under: Anser brachyrhynchus (Pink-footed goose)
Lineage: Eukaryota; Metazoa; Chordata; Aves; Anseriformes; Anatidae
Description: lncRNA (ENSABRG00000000572.1)
Source: RNAcentral
CUCUUUACUAUGCUUUUGCUUGUAUUAGCAUCUUAUAUUGACAUUGAAUACUAUAAUUAGCAUCUGAUCUUGCACAGGGCUCACCUGAGACAUGAACAGAUUGCCCAGAGAAGUUGUGGAUGCCCCAUCCCUGGAGGUGUUCAAGACCAGGUUAGAUGAGGCCUUGAGCAACCUGAUCUAGUGGGCAGCAUCCCUGCCUAUGGCAGGGGGGUUGGAACUAGAUGAUCCUUGAGGCCCCUUCCAACCCAAGCCAUUCUAUGAUUCUACGAGAGACAAGGCACAGUCACUCAAAUCAAGGGAAUUAAUGUGCUCCCUCACAUUACCUCCUGAGGGACAUCCACAUCUACAGUGUAAAGUACAAUAAAAGACAGAAAAUUGGGUUGUUGGGACUCUGCAGAGUGAGAAGGAUGGACUGGCCAUUCUGGAUUAUACAGAUGCUGGCCUUACUUGUGAGCAGGCUUUGUUCCAUCUGGAGGUGUUAAGCAGUUUACAAAGCCACCAGCAGGAAGCCAGUCCAGCAUAUGCACCAUCGUGGGGACAGGAGACCCCUUCCAGCUGCCAAGGAUGGUGCAGGCAUUGGGGAGGCCAUUUAUCACCUGCAUGUGACAAGCUGCUGGUUUGGGAUCUGUAGUGGAACUAUUGCAUCCCCAGAAAAACCUGGAAAGUUCAUUUAAAUAGAAUUUAAGCUCUCUAGCUUAUUAUUUAGGAUUUAUGGAUAUCUCUAUCCAGUUUUCCUAGACAAAUAAAUCACUGCUAUGAAUUGCGCUGUUUCUGAUA